RNAcentral lists this ribosomal RNA (253 nucleotides) under uncultured bacterium. RNAcentral's name for it is "partial 16S ribosomal RNA". It matches the Rfam family "Bacterial small subunit ribosomal RNA", at positions 524 to 776 of the family's 1533-position model. The record is from RNAcentral.
UACAGAGGUCCCAAGCGUUGUUCGGAUUCACUGGGCGUAAAGGGUGCGUAGGUGGCAGGGUAAGUUUGAUGUGAAAUCCCCGGGCUUAACUCGGGAACUGCAUUGAAUACUAUCCGGCUUGAGGAUCGGAGGGGAGACUGGAAUUCUCGGUGUAGCAGUGAAAUGCGUAGAGAUCGAGAGGAACACCAGUGGCGAAGGCGAGUCUCUAGACGAUUCCUGACGCUGAGGCACGAAAGCUAGGGGAGCAAACAGG